ACACUAGAAUAUUCACGCUCCGGUGGCGGCAGCAGCAGCCAGAGGAGCGGCCCAUCACACAAGGGACCCCUCAGGAAUGAAGCAGCCUUUCAGGGCCAGAGGGGCUGUGGUCUCCCUUCCUCUCCUUAAAUAGCCAGCGUUCCACCCACAGCGGCACGGAGCCCCCUGCCACCACCGACACCCACGGGCGGAGAUCACCUGCUGCCCCGCAGACCCCUGUCCCUUCCUCCCGGACCAGCACCUAGAGCUCUCCGCCCUCACCGUGGUUUUAGCAGUCCUAGGGAAAGUGCCAGCCGAGACCAUCCAGACCAAGUCAGAGGACUGUGAAACCUGGAUUCCUGGGGAAUGGGGUCCCCAUGAGGAACUCCACACUGGACUAAGAACAGACCCUGUUCCUGGUAGCAGCAGGAAACCAUCUCUGGUGUUAGAACUUCAGGCAUCUUGAAACACUCUGAAGCCGGGGGCAAUCUUUUCAGGCUCUGACUCCAGCCAAAGCAUGAAUGGCCUUGAAGUGGCUCCCCCAGGUCUGAUCACCAACUUCUCCCUGGCCACGGCAGAGCAAUGUGGCCAGGAGACGCCACUGGAGAACAUGCUGUUCGCCUCCUUCUACCUUCUGGAUUUUAUCCUGGCUUUCGUUGGCAAUACCCUGGCUCUGUGGCUUUUCAUCCGAGACCACAAGUCCGGGACCCCAGCCAACGUGUUCCUGAUGCAUCUGGCCGUGGCCGACUUGUCGUGCGUGCUGGUCCUGCCCACCCGCCUGGUCUACCACUUCUCUGGGAACCACUGGCCGUUUGGGGAAAUCGCAUGCCGUCUCACCGGCUUCCUCUUCUACCUCAACAUGUACGCCAGCAUCUACUUCCUCACCUGCAUCAGCGCCGACCGCUUCCUGGCCAUCGUGCACCCGGUCAAGUCCCUCAAGCUCCGCAGGCCCCUCUACGCACACCUGGCCUGUGCCUUCCUGUGGGUGGUGGUGGCCGUGGCCAUGGCCCCGCUGCUGGUGAGCCCGCAGACCGUGCAAACCAACCACACGGUGGUCUGCCUGCAGCUGUACCGGGAGAAGGCCUCCCACCAUGCCCUGGUGUCCCUGGCCGUGGCCUUCACCUUCCCGUUCAUCACCACGGUCACCUGCUACCUGCUGAUCAUCCGCAGCCUGAGGCAGGGCCUACGUGUGGAGAAGCGCCUCAAGACCAAGGCAGUGCGCAUGAUCGCCAUAGUGCUGGCCAUCUUCCUGGUCUGC
This 1237-nucleotide small RNA is filed under the name Pongo abelii (Sumatran orangutan). Its description in RNAcentral is "processed transcript". Lineage: Eukaryota; Metazoa; Chordata; Mammalia; Primates; Hominidae. The record is from RNAcentral.